This 554-nucleotide ribosomal RNA is filed under the name uncultured bacterium. RNAcentral's name for it is "partial 16S ribosomal RNA". It matches the Rfam family "Bacterial small subunit ribosomal RNA", at positions 355 to 900 of the family's 1533-position model. The record is from RNAcentral.
UAGGGAAUCUUCCACAAUGGACGCAAGUCUGAUGGAGCAACGCCGCGUGAGUGAAGAAGGUUUUCGGACCGUAAAGCUCUGUUGUUGGUGAAGAAGGAUAGAGGUAGUAACUGGCCUUUAUUUGACGGUAAUCAACCAGAAAGUCACGGCUAACUACGUGCCAGCAGCCGCGGUAAUACGUAGGUGGCAAGCGUUGUCCGGAUUUAUUGGGCGUAAAGCGAGCGCAGGCGGAAGAAUAAGUCUGAUGUGAAAGCCCUCGGCUUAACCGAGGAAUUGCAUCGGAAACUGUUUUCUUGAGUGCAGAAGAGGAGAGUAGAACUCCAUGUGUAGCGGUGGAAUGCGUAGAUAUAUGGAAGAAUACCAAUGGCGAAGGCGGCUCUCUGGUCUGCAACUGACGCUGAGGCUCGAAAGCAUGGGUAGCGAACAGGAUUAGAUACCCUGGUAGUCCAUGCCGUAAACGAUGAGUGCUAAGUGUUGGGAGGCUUCCGCCUCUCAGUGCUGCAGCUAACGCAUUAAGCACUCCGCCUGGGGGAGUACGACCGCAAGGUUGAAAC